Molecule: ribosomal RNA, 404 nt
Filed under: Fusobacteriota bacterium
Lineage: Bacteria; Fusobacteriati; Fusobacteriota
Description: Fusobacteria bacterium partial 16S ribosomal RNA
Rfam family: Bacterial small subunit ribosomal RNA
Source: RNAcentral
UGGGGAAUAUUGCACAAUGGAGGGAACUCUGAUGCAGCGACGCCGCGUGAGUGAUGAAGGACUUCGUUUCGUAAAACUCUGUUCUAUGGGAAGAAAAGGACUGUACCAUAGGAGAAAGCUCCGGCUAAAUACGUGCCAGCAGCCGCGGUAAUACGUAUGGAGCGAGCGUUGUCCGGAAUUAUUGGGCGUAAAGGGUGCGCAGGCGGCUUUACAAGUUGGAUGUGAAAUAUUGUGGCUCAACCACAAACGUGCAUCCAAAACUGCAAAGCUUGAGUUAAGGAGAGGUAAGUGGAAUUCCUGGUGUAGCGGUGGAAUGCGUAGAUAUCAGGAGGAAUACCGGUGGCGAAGGCGACUUACUGGACUUAAACUGACGCUCAGGCACGAAAGCGUGGGUAGCAAACAGG